Long non-coding RNA from Passer domesticus (house sparrow), 593 nucleotides. RefSeq lists it as uncharacterized. Lineage: Eukaryota; Metazoa; Chordata; Aves; Passeriformes; Passeridae. The record is from RefSeq and is a predicted model, not a curated record. The transcript is spliced from 2 exons.
ACAGUUUGUACCCAGGGAAGAGUGCACUAAGGUCUUCAGUCUUUUCCUCAUCGUUUGUUCUGUGUUUCCACCCACAUCCAGGAAAAGACAGAGAUUCUCCUUAGCCCUCCUUUUGUUGCUGAUGGAUUUACAGAAGCAUUUUUAUCCUCUUUGCAAUUUUCUAAGAAGAAAUUCUCUACAGUGAGGCUGUUGAGGCACUGGGAACAAGUUGCCCAGAGGAGCUGUGGAUGCCUAAGGAAGGGUUUGCAUCUGCCCCUGCUCUCUCCACUUCCCUUCUUAGUCAUGACAUGGGGGGCCUGAAGCAACUCCAGACUGAGGACAAGGUGAACAUGGCUCAGGCUCACACAGAGAUCUGACUGCCUACAGCCUUACCAAGCAGUUUUCUCUGGACACUUCCAAUGUUCUCUUACCCACAAAGUCUUUGUCUCCCAUCCAGAAGAGCUCUAAUUCCUCCAAGCUCAGGAAGAAGCUGCUGCCUGUCUGAAGAGUGUCACAAGAAUAGGAUUUAUGUGUUAGGCUUCAUAGUUAGAUAUGGAUAUAUAUUCUGAUAUUUAGAUGUCGUUUUGAAUAAAGGUUUUGAUUGUAUCUUUCAA